This 28-nucleotide non-coding RNA is filed under the name Bombyx mori (domestic silkworm). The record is from RNAcentral. Lineage: Eukaryota; Metazoa; Arthropoda; Insecta; Lepidoptera; Bombycidae.
UACCAUACGCAACUUCAAUGUUGGGACC